UUUUAGCCCCGAUAGUAGUGAAAAUCCUUUUUAAAAACUUGGAGCGCAGCGGAAAUUUUUUAAAAAGAUUGCAACGGAUAGCGGGAAUAGCU
RNAcentral lists this small RNA (92 nucleotides) under Flavobacterium noncentrifugens. RNAcentral describes it as "Flavo-1 RNA". It matches the Rfam family "Flavo-1 RNA". The record is from Rfam by way of RNAcentral. Lineage: Bacteria; Pseudomonadati; Bacteroidota; Flavobacteriia; Flavobacteriales; Flavobacteriaceae.